AGAGCCCUAGAAGUAGAGGAUAGUAGUCAAAGGAAAGUUUGCCUUUCUGUAUCCGUAUUGUUUGAAUUUUUUUGAGGAGAAACUCUUUAGGGAGUAAUCACUUAAAACUUAAUUCCAAAGAGUAAAAUUACAUUUUUUUGUUGUACUCCAUGUCAUCCUGAUGGCUUUAUUUCUACCAGCGUGGAUCAUGCUCAGAGGGACUCAGUUUGUUACCUUAAUCCCCGUGGAAUGCCUAGAUUAAUCCCAAAGUUUUAGGGAGGAUGGUCUGACAUGGCGGAGAGAGGGGAGAGUGUGGAUUUAAUUUUAUUUUCCUCAAAACUACUCAUUACCUUCUCCCUCCUGAUGAUUGCCGUUACACACCUUUACCUCAGGUCCGCCAAAACUCCUUGAAUAUAAUAAUAAUGAUGACGGCGAUGAUGUUGAUGAUGAUGAAAACUGAAUAAUGGAAAUCCUGCUAAUAAUAAAUGACAAUAGUUAUGCCAUUUUGAACAUGAACUCUACCCCAGAUACUCUCCUAUACACUUUCAUGCAUUAUCAUUCUUUUUUUAACCUUUAUCACCAGUCUGAGGUAAGUACUAUUAUUAUCCCCAUUUUAGAGGUGAGAAACCGAGGCUUGAAGAAAUCAGUGAGCCGGACUGCAGCCAGCUGGCUGGUGAGUGGAGGAGGCUGGACCGGAACCCAGAGUGUUUGACUUGAGUCUGCGCUCGGGCACAGGUGUUAGCGUUUCUUGUACUUAGAGAAACGCCGACCACCAGUGUCUGCGGGAGCAGGGCGUCCAGGCUGGAAAAUUGAACUGGUCUGAACUAGAAUGUGUUUGCUUUGGAGAGGCCUUCUGUGUGAUCUGGUUCCCCAUUGCUUCCUCCUCGUGCUCCUUUGAGCCUUUCAAUUUGAGGUUUCAGCUGCCGCUGGGUUACCACAUCAGGCGCCUGUUUCUAUCAGGCAGUGUGUACCAAGGGGGAAAAUCUCCGGAGAGCGAGAUCUCAUCUGCUUUCAUGUACACGCCUCACAACAAUUUCUCAGUUGCCAGCUCCUCUUACUUGAAACAGCAGCCUAGAAACAUCUCUGAAGAGAGAGAAGACCUAGCUUCCUGGAGCACACCAUAAUGGUUGGAGAAUUAAAUGACACUGAAAAUUCAGAAGAUGAGGGGAAACAGAUUAAAACUGCAACCACGAGAUGAAUGAAGAAAGAGAAGAGUCGUUUAGGGAGAUGGAAGGUGACACUUUGCCAUUUCUGCAUUCCUGAAAGAAUUAUAUGAACACGAUCUUCUCCUAACAGUAAUGUUUGACUUAGUGGUGGCUGGCUCUGUGUUAAUGCUUGGGGUCUUAAUUGGUGAUCGGAUCAUCAGGAAACCAAGAAACAAAGAUGUUCCUUGAGCUGCCAGAGAAAAAACUGUGGUAUGUACCACAAUGGGCUGAGAAAGUUCGUUUUUGGAUUCCACACUCCCUUUCCCACCCUGCUGUAGGUGGCCUGCUACUCGGCUGUGAUACUCCUGGCAGCCUUGGCGAACCUGGCCAGCACCACACUGGGCAUCACCAUUCAGAAGGACUGGAUCGUGAGCCUCACACAUGACAACAGAGGCCAGCUGGCUGGUGAUCUGGGUCAUGGUCUUCUAAUCAGUCGAGAGGUAGGCCUGGCUCGGUGAACACAAUUGAUGAGUCAAUCAGGGCUCUGAGAGGGGCAGUAAAGUCGCCUUUAAGAGAGAGGCAUCUGGAGUCAAACAGACCUGGAUUUGAAUCCCGUUAAAACGAACCAUGGCUCUUACCAGCUGCAAUUUACAUAACUUCCCCAGACUCUACUUUCCUCAUCUGUAGAACUGGAGAAACAGACCUCACACCCACACCCCAUGCCUGCUCAGUUUGGAGAAUUCUGUGAGAUACAGGAUUUGUAAAGCACUUGGACCUACAUCUGCAGGCAGGAAGAAAUGGAUGCCAUUGUUAUUAUCAAAGAGAUAACAUAAACUGUACUUUCAGGAGAGAAGCCCCUCAAAAUAUGGCAGAGAAGUCCCAUGGCAAUUUUAGACCUGCAACAUAAGUGGAUUAAAAGAUUUCUUCAUUCUGGCCAGUGAUAAGCUUCUAUGUCCCCUGCAAAAAAUGCGUCAGGGAAUGUGACUGUUGAUUAUCACUUAUCACUGAUAGUGAGAGGUAGAAUUUUUUCCAACAAUGGAGCUAAAUGGGAGAAUCUGGCAUCUUUGUUUUUUCUUCCAUUUAUAAAACUUGGAUCAUUCACAUUGUGAUAUAUUCAAAUUGCCAGCUUAAAAACUGGAGAUCUUGCCCAACCCUAUAUUUGUGGAAUUGGUACUCUCUGCUAGAAAAUGUUCGUGAGUUGGUAGCCAAGAUAAAGGAAGCUAUCAUGGAGAAGUCUAUUAAAAUAUACUCCUUACAAAGAGUAGAAGUCCCUUAUAAUCAUGUCUUCUCUUAAACUACACUUAUUUGGAUGGUACUGUGGCUUAAAUAACACCACCCAAAAUAAAACAGCUAGGCGGGUAAAAGCUGGGUGACAUGGUGUUGAAAGUGUCCUCUGUCUCUGGGUAAAAGAAAAUCUUCCUAGCCUCUCUUAAUUGCUUUUAAAGAAAUCUAAAAUAAAACACAGAUCCUGUUUCGAGGUUCACUAUGAUUUUUUAAGUGAGCCUGCAAGUAUGUUCUUCAGCAAUGGUGGAAUAGUUAGGAGAGUAAGCUUUGGAGUCAGCCUGCUUGGAUUUGAAUCUCAACUCCCCCACUUACCUUCCCUGUGACCCUGAGCAAAAAAAGUUCACCUCUUCGUGCCUCUACUUCUUAAUUUGUUAAAGGGAGCUAUUGCCAGUCUCUUAGAGUUGUUGUGAGGGUCAGUGAGCCGGGUGUGUGGAAAAGGCUUAGAACUAGGUGCCUGGCACUAGGAAGUUUGCUACUAGUUCUGUCCUUCUUCUUCCUCCCCCUCAUCGACAUGUUAGUCAUAAUAACAUAAUGACUAGUUAAUAUCAUUGUUGUUGUUAAGAUAGCAGGAUGUGACAGAAAAGAGAAGACAGGAGACCGAAGUUAGAAUAAUUAGCUCCAAGUGACCUUGUCCUCAGUUUACUCCUCUGUUAAUUAUUCAAGUUCAAUAGAACUGAUCUUGAAGGCUUUCUUCAAGUUGAAAAUCCUGUGAUGAAUCCAUAGUUAGCCUGAAAGGGAACUUUUCUGUUUCCACCGCAGUUCACCCCAUACACGGCUAGCAAAUGCACCCUGUUAAAUUCACCAGGAGGAAGGACUCAGCCACUGAGCUGCAAUGUUCCAUUCCCCUCACUUACAGGGAUGAACGCAGUGGUCCAGCAGCUGGACCAGAUCAUUAAUGUAUUUGCUCCCUUGUCCGUGGGCCAGGUGAUGACAUGGGCGUCUCAUGUGAUUGGUUAUGGUUUCAUUCCUGGAUGGAACUUGGUUUCACUUCUUGUGGAGUUUCUAUUUCUGUCCAGGGUUAAUCAGCUAGUUCCCCAAUUGGCUGUAAAACCCCAGCAACAAAGAGGGGGGCACUUCCAAGAAAGGUGACAGGAGGCCGUGAACCUUCAAGGUAAGAUAAACUCAGAGGCAGCUAUUGUCCUUUAUUUUUCCUUUAUGUCAGUAUUUCAUUUCUUCUUUUCAGAGCUUGUGUCUGAUUAUAAUCUCCACAUUUUGUCUGCAAAUGUGCCUAUAAACAGUGAAAAAAUGAGAAGGUUCCAACUGUGCCAUUGGUCAUAUAGUUCAUAUGGCUGAUCUCAUUGGUGGGGGCAGGUGGGGACAUCAUGUGCAGUUACACAGGUUGUACACUGCCCCAUUCCAGGGGCUUUAUUUAGAGAGACUCUAAUGUGAGUAGCAUUCCCAUGGGACUGUGCAGUAUUUAACCUGUACAACCUAUUUCAUGGUCCUGGGGGUAAAUUUCUUCUUCUUCUCUCUCAUCAUCCUCCUCCUUAAAGAUGCUAAGUUAGAAAGACAAAUAUCUCAGAUAGUAUGGGCUGCUCUUUGGCCAAGAUAGUGUAAUGCAUUGACCAUCUCUGCUAUCAGCAGUGGGGUUUUUUGGUUUUGUUUUUUUUUUUUAAUUAUUUGUUUGUUUGUUUGUUUAAGUGGGCUCCACACUGAGCAUGGAGCCCAUUGUGGGGCUUGGACUUAUAACCCUGAGAUCCAGACCACUGUUUCUAGGCACAUUUGCAAAUCAAGAGUCGGACAUUCAACAGACUAAGCCACCAGGCACCCCUCAGUAGUGUUUUAUAAAGCAAAGAUUCCCUAACAUUAGGGGAUGGGAGGAAGGUGGACCUGCCAGUAGAUAUGAUCUGAAGAUUAAGAGCUCUCCCUGCCCACUGACAGUGUUGCCCAUUUGCCUGGCAUAACAGAGCUCAAGCCUUGCUUCUGAGAUCAGUUUCUUUUCCUGGACUUCUUAUAAUUAAUUAUCUCUUCUCUCAAGCUGUUCUGCAAUUGAAGCCUACCAGAUCUCAUUGUAUGAAUAAAAUAUAUGUAUUUAUAGAGAUAGAUACACGCAUUUAGAUGAUGGAUGGGUAGGUAAGUGGUCAGAGAGACAGAUAAAUAGAUAAAUUGUGCUGUGUCUUUCCAUCUGUCCCUUUUAGCUGUGUAACCAGGCAGAGUCAUUUGACUCCGACUCUGUGUCUCACUGUACAGUAAGGGUAACAAUGACAGGACUGAUUGCAGGAAUGCUGUGGCAGAAAGAUCGCCUCUGCAAAGCCCCAUUUUGCUCCCUGACAUAUAGUGAAACAAGUCAGUGUUAGCUGGGUUUUCAUCGGUGUGGUUAUUGUUAUUAGCUUUCUUUUUCUUUCUUUUUUUUUUUUAAAAUAAAGCUGCUCUGGCAAUAAAUUCAUUUCUACAACCAGGAGCUUCCCUCUCCCCAUAGUUCUUGGGCUACAAUGGAUUUGGCCUGAUCCCCUCUCCUUCCUUCACAGCCCUUUUUGAUUCCUGUUUUUUUUUUUUUUUCCGGAGCUUGUCUUCAUCUGUGCUAAACGCCUCUCACAAAGGGUUCUUUCUUUUUAAAUCUGCUUACAACCAUUGCCUGUUGCAUGCUGGAAGACUGAAAGCUAUUAUCAUUUUCUUUUCACAAGUCUCUUUUUCUUCAGAAACAUAACCAAAGGAAAUAUCCAUCACUGUUUUUAAGAGUUUGUUACCAUGUUUCAAGCCUGUGAAAAUUUGUCUUUCACGCUCUGCUGUAUUUUCUCUCCUGUCAGUGGCCACCUUCCCGACCUCACUGUGUGUCUUAGUUCGGGUUCUCUCAAAAGCAGUUCUUGAGAGGAGGAUUUGGGGUAAACAUAAUCUACUUGGCAGGUGAUCCUAGGAAGCAUGAAGUGGGGAUGGGAAACGAGACAGGGAAAGGAGAAGAGCCAAUAAAGAGUGUGUUGGCAUACAGGUUACUGCGACUGGGGCUCAGUCUUGCCAGGGCUGGGAGACACUGUGUAGGAUUUACCUCAGAAUUGUCCCACCAACGGCUAAGGAAACUGGGGCAUUUCUCCACCUAGUGCUGUUCCCCAGAGGUGUGAUGCCUGGGCAAAUGCAGUACCGCCUGCCCUUGUGUUCCUGGGGCUAGAGAGACUCUCAGAAAGACAUGGGUGCUGGGGAUAGGAAGCCAUGGUCACCCAUAGGAACUGCCCAACAAAGCAGCAGAUGAGGGUGGGGAUGGGCUGAGGGCACUGGGGCAGGGCACUGACGCAAAGGUUAUGGGAUUUUAUUUGAGGUGAAAUGGACUCUUGUGAAACAACUGCUGGAUUCAUCAAUAAACCCAAAACCUUGGGAAGGUUGAAGGACCACAAGUCUAGCCUUGAAGGACACCAGGCCAGAACCACAGGGCUUCCCCUCCUGCCUCCCA
Molecule: long non-coding RNA, 5790 nt
Organism: Ailuropoda melanoleuca (giant panda)
Lineage: Eukaryota; Metazoa; Chordata; Mammalia; Carnivora; Ursidae
Exons: 4
Source: RefSeq, a predicted model, not a curated record